RNAcentral lists this ribosomal RNA (546 nucleotides) under Russula romellii. RNAcentral describes it as "partial 12S small subunit ribosomal RNA". It matches the Rfam family "Bacterial small subunit ribosomal RNA", at positions 359 to 951 of the family's 1533-position model. The record is from RNAcentral. Lineage: Eukaryota; Fungi; Basidiomycota; Agaricomycetes; Russulales; Russulaceae.
GAAUAUUAGUCAAUGCUCGAAAGAGUGAACUAGCUAACUGAAAUCAAUUAAAAUAAUUGAUAACAUAAGGGAAAAUAAUGAUAUUACCUUAUUAUUAGUGUCGUCCAAAACUGGUGCCAGAAGACUCGGUAAGGCCAGAGACACAAACGUUAAUCGUCUUAAUCAGGCGUAAAGGGUUUGUAGGCGGCUUUAAAAUUUACUUAUAAAAAUAAAUAAUAAGUAAAGAAUAAAAGCUAGAAUCAAAUAGAGGAUAUAUGAAAGAAUGCUUAGAGUAGGUCUGAUAUCCUUAGAUACUAAGUAGAAUAUUAAAGGCGAAAGCUUUUUUCCAUUAAUGAUUGACGCUCAGAAACGAAGGUGAGGAAAGGAAAUAGGAUUAGAUACCCAGAAUACCCCUCUCUGUCAACGAUGAAUGGUAGUUAUUAGUAAAAAAUUAUUAAUAGCAAUGUUAACACGAUAACCAUUCCGCCUUGUGAGUACAACUGCAAAGUUGAAAACAAAAAAAUUAGUCGGUUUCGGAGCAAACGAAGUGAAGCAUGUUAUUUAAUU